AACGAACGCUGGCGGCAGGCCUAACACAUGCAAGUCGAACGCCCUAGCAAUAGGGAGUGGCAGACGGGUGAGUAACGCGUGGGCACGUGCCUUUCGGUUCGGAAUAACUCAGGGAAACUUGAGCUAAUACCGGAUACGCCCUUCGGGGGGACGAUUUAUUGCCGAAAGAUCGGCCCGCGUCCGAUUAGCUAGUUGGUGAGUUAAAGGCUCACCAAGGGGACGAUCGGUAGCUGGUCUGAGAGGAUGAUCAGCCACACUGGGACUGAGACACGGCCCAGACUCCUACGGGAGGCAGCAGUGGGGAAUAUUGGGCAAUGGGCGCAAGCCUGAGCCAGCCAUGCCGCGUGAGUGAUGAAGGCCCUAGGGUUGUAAAGCUCUUUCGCCAGGGACGAUAAUGACGGUACCUGGAUAAGAAGCCCCGGCUAACUUCGUGCCAGCCGCCGCAGUAA
Molecule: ribosomal RNA, 449 nt
Filed under: uncultured bacterium
Lineage: Bacteria
Description: partial 16S ribosomal RNA
Rfam family: Bacterial small subunit ribosomal RNA
Source: RNAcentral